AAGUAUAAAUUAAAUAAAAGCUUCUAGCUUUUAAAUUGUAAUUAAUAUUACUAUACUUU
This 59-nucleotide transfer RNA is filed under the name Nymphon gracile. Its description in RNAcentral is "tRNA-Ser". Lineage: Eukaryota; Metazoa; Arthropoda; Pycnogonida; Pantopoda; Nymphonidae. The record is from RNAcentral.